UUCCUCCAUUAAUACCUUACAUUAUUAAGAUACAUCUGUAACAAUUAAUGAAUCAAUUGUAUAGAUAAAGAGGAGGGAAAGUAAAUCUACCCCAUACACACUUCAACCCAGGCCCUGUGCCUGGUCUGUAUUGUGACUGGGAAGACAUGG
This 150-nucleotide small nucleolar RNA is filed under the name Castor canadensis (American beaver). Its description in RNAcentral is "Small nucleolar RNA SNORA51 (ENSCCNG00000018542.1)". It matches the Rfam family "Small nucleolar RNA SNORA51". Rfam says of the family: ACA51 is a member of the H/ACA class of snoRNA that guide the sites of modification of uridines to pseudouridines. Lineage: Eukaryota; Metazoa; Chordata; Mammalia; Rodentia; Castoridae. The record is from RNAcentral.